GCAAACUUGGUCAUUUAGAGGAAGUAAAAGUCGUAACAAGGUUUCCGUAGGUGAACCUGCGGAAGGAUCAUCAAAGGAGGAGGGGGAGGGAAGGAGGAAGUCUUGCGGGAUUUUCUUCUUCCUCACCCAACCAAUCUUGUGUGAACUGUAGCGAGCAUACGCGUGGGUGUGUUGGUGGGAAGGGAGUGUCUCUCGCCCGCCGCCAUCACGCUUGCACAACUAUCCAGUUUAUCUUGUCUAACUUGUCGCAAAUAACAAAUCACAACUUUUAACAAUGGAUCUCUUGGCUCUCGCAUCGAUGAAGAACGCAGC
RNAcentral lists this unclassified non-coding RNA (312 nucleotides) under uncultured fungus. Its description in RNAcentral is "partial contains small subunit ribosomal RNA, internal transcribed spacer 1, and 5.8S ribosomal RNA". The stretch from base 1 to 73 matches the Rfam family "Eukaryotic small subunit ribosomal RNA", at positions 1759 to 1831 of the family's 1831-position model. Lineage: Eukaryota; Fungi. The record is from RNAcentral.